Molecule: ribosomal RNA, 323 nt
Filed under: uncultured bacterium
Lineage: Bacteria
Description: bacterial SSU rRNA
Rfam family: Bacterial small subunit ribosomal RNA
Source: RNAcentral
GAUGAACGCUGGCGGCGUGCUUAACACAUGCAAGUCGAACGAGAAUCAGUGGAACAAGGAUUCGUCUGAGGGAAGCUGAGGAAAGUGGCGGACGGGUGAGUAACGCGUGAGCAAUCUGCCUUGGAGUGGGGAAUAACGGCUGGAAACAGCCGCUAAUACCGCAUAAUGCAUCUGAGUCGCAUGGUUUGGAUGCCAAAGAUUUAUCGCUCUGAGAUGAGCUCGCGUCUGAUUAGCUAGUUGGCGGGGUAACGGCCCACCAAGGCGACGAUCAGUAGCCGGACUGAGAGGUUGGCCGGCCACAUUGGGACUGAGACACGGCCCAG